AUACGUAGGGUGCAAGCGUUAAUCGGAAUUACUGGGCGUAAAGCGUGCGCAGGCGGUUUUGUAAGACAGUGGUGAAAUCCCCGGGCUCAACCUGGGAACUGCCAUUGUGACUGCAAGGCUGGAGUGCGGCAGAGGGGGGUGGAAUUCCGCGUGGAGCAGUGAAAUGCGUAGAUAUGUGGAGGAACACCGAUGGCGAAGGCAAUCCCCUGGGCAUGCACUGACGCUCAUGCACGAAGGCGUGGGGAGCAAACAGGAUGAGAUGCCCUGGUAGUCCACGCCCUAAACGAUGUCAACUGGUUGUUGGGGAUUUAUUUUCUCAGUAACGAAGCUAACGCGUGAAGUUGACCGCCUGGGGAGUACGGCCGCAAGGUUAAAACUCAAAUGAAUUGACGGGG
Molecule: ribosomal RNA, 395 nt
Filed under: uncultured bacterium
Lineage: Bacteria
Description: partial 16S ribosomal RNA
Rfam family: Bacterial small subunit ribosomal RNA
Source: RNAcentral